Molecule: ribosomal RNA, 548 nt
Filed under: uncultured bacterium
Lineage: Bacteria
Description: bacterial SSU rRNA
Rfam family: Bacterial small subunit ribosomal RNA
Source: RNAcentral
UAGGGAAUCUUCGGCAAUGGGGGCAACCCUGACCGAGCAACGCCGCGUGAGUGAAGAAGGUUUUCGGAUCGUAAAGCUCUGUUGUAAGUCAAGAACGAGUGUGAGAGUGGAAAGUUCACACUGUGACGGUAGCUUACCAGAAAGGGACGGCUAACUACGUGCCAGCAGCCGCGGUAAUACGUAGGUCCCGAGCGUUGUCCGGAUUUAUUGGGCGUAAAGCGAGCGCAGGCGGUUUGAUAAGUCUGAAGUUAAAGGCUGUGGCUCAACCAUAGUUCGCUUUGGAAACUGUCAAACUUGAGUGCAGAAGGGGAGAGUGGAAUUCCAUGUGUAGCGGUGAAAUGCGUAGAUAUAUGGAGGAACACCGGUGGCGAAAGCGGCUCUCUGGUCUGUAACUGACGCUGAGGCUCGAAAGCGUGGGGAGCGAACAGGAUUAGAUACCCUGGUAGUCCACGCCGUAAACGAUGAGUGCUAGGUGUUGGAUCCUUUCCGGGAUUCAGUGCCGCAGCUAACGCAUUAAGCACUCCGCCUGGGGAGUACGACCGCAAGGU